Molecule: long non-coding RNA, 2706 nt
Organism: Cuculus canorus (common cuckoo)
Lineage: Eukaryota; Metazoa; Chordata; Aves; Cuculiformes; Cuculidae
Exons: 3
Source: RefSeq, a predicted model, not a curated record
UUCAUAACUCUGUACUUGUGCAGUGUUGUAGUUGUAUUAUUUGAUUCUCAAAAACUCUCCAAUAAGAGAUAUAGUUUCCAUAACUUUUCUUUAAAUUCUGAGCUGUAUAUCAAAGCCUGUUAGAGACUUCUGGAGAAAAAGAAUGUUUCCUGAAGGAAGACAAAUACCGUGAGUUACCAAAUUUGUUCAUUUCAGAUGCCUUUGUUCAAGUGACAGCUCAAAAGGACAACAGGCUAAAUGACUCAGAAGCAUGAGAAGAAUUUGGGGAUAUGACCAAUGUGAAUGAAAACCUAAUGGUCGGCAAACAGCUGUAUGGAAUUGGGUUUUUAAUGUACUGCAUCAGUGACUAAGAACAAGAACACAGAUACCUUUGGGGAUCCUUGGUAGGCAAACCAUUAGUCUAGUCCUGCAGUCCUAUAUGAUUUUCUAUGCAUAAUUGCAGAUAACUAGAUUUUUCUAAAGGUUAAUAACAAUUGUAGGGUGUUAACGAUACAUUGAAACUUCUCAUUCUUUACUGCUGCCUAUUAAAUUGCAGCAGUGUUUCACUUUCCCCAUUAGUGUAGUAAAUAAUACAUAUUCUGGAAGAGUUCUUUAAAGGUGGUGAUUAAAUAGAAGGAAAGGAAGGUCAAAAAAUAACUGACGUUUUCUCUAGUGAUUCAGUUAUCAGAUAGUGAUAUUGGAGGACAAAGUGCUUCCUAGUGGUGAAUGAUUAUUGUCUGCAUGACACUAAAAAAUAAAUGCAGAGAAAUUCAAAGGUGACUGAGAAUUUUGGACAGCCAAUUUUCUGAAAAAUUACUGGGACUUACAUGGAGGUAGAUUUGAAAACCUCCACCACAGAGUUUAUUGUCCAAGUGGCUCCUCAGGAGGUUUGUGGUAAGAAACAGAAGGAAAUUGUAAAGAGAAGAUCUGAGGGAGGAAUUACUAAUAAUGCCUUGUAGAGAUGGUGGAAAACAGUCAUCGAAGUUCCAGCUACUGAAAGGACAGAUUGUUUAGUGUGACACUCUGUAGAAGAGAUUCCUGCUCUGAAUUCAGUACUGUGAUGCACAGCUUCCUGACAGACCAUCGCGUCAGUGGUGAGAGACUGCACCACAGCCUUCGAGGAGCUGCCUGGCGGAUGGCCACCCUCCCUCUGGAAAACAGCAUUUUAUUUAUAGUUUGAAUUUAUCUAAUUUCAGUUUCCAGUCACCAGAUCUUGUCAUGCUUCAUUCAUUCAGUAGAAGCGCUCUUGUAACAAGGCAAGGAAUAAAGGAAACAACAAUGUCCUCCUUCCAAAGCUUUCUGCAGGCACUCAGCACAAGUGCUGCUCCUCUGGCUCUGAGCCCUCUGGGAUGGAUCCUACUGUCCUUCCCUCCACUCCCGGCAUUUAUGGUCCCUCUUGUCCAUGACCGUUGUCUCUGCAGUAGGUUCAGUGCAGGUGCUGGUCUUCUGCUCUCACAGAGCUGGCUAAUCAGGCACUUCAGGCAAAGGGCUGCUAUUUAGGACAAAAGCUUUAAACAAAAAGACUAUAUAUUUCUGUCUGGUUAAUCCUCAGUUUCAGGGCUAUUUCCCCUCUCCUAGUGCAGGCGGGUCUCUCACUGCCAUUAUCAGGGCUUUGACAGGAAAUUUUCAUGAGCCCAUUCCAACCACGCAAUGCAAAUAUAGGACUGCCAUUCCUCAGGGAUGUUUUUUCCAACUAGCUCUUUGCAUUACCUUGGAGUUAGUUGAUUUCAUGCAGAAAACUUCUUUAACUCCUCCAUGGUGACAGGAUCCUAUCUGUCCACUGGAACUGGUUAUUCCUUGGGUUUCUUCCAUUUGGCAUGCCCAUUACCAAAGCUUUUACCCAUGUGGUUUUCCCAUUCUCUUUGUUUCCUUCUCAUUGGUAUGAAACGAAUCAGAAAAGGAUGUGCUCUACCCAUGAGUAUUUCAUGUAGCUUAAAAGGACAGUAAGAACUACCUUUAUCCCAAAAGAAAUACACAGAUAAAUCAAUACUUACAGUGGGAAUGAGGUGGAGAAAGCAAUGACUUGCCUGAAUGGUAAUGAAGACAUAGUGAACAGGAUGCUUUGGGCAAACACCAGAUUCAAAAUGUGAGUUUGUACCACCCUAGAAUAAAGUACAAAACUAUAUCCAGGUAAGGGGAUUAAAUCAUACAUAGCCCUCAAAAACAAUCAUUGUUCAUAGCACCAAUUAGCUCUCCAGGAAUAUGAGGAACUCACUGAUUUACCUCUGAUGUCAAAUUGCCCAUGAAGUUACCGCAUGUGUUUGCUUAAAAGUAUCCCGAACUAAGGUGACAAAAUCUCCCUUAUAUAAAUUCCAUGUGACUCUCCAGGGAGAAGAGAGAAUUUAGAUGUAUGAACUUCAUAACGCUGCACUGAUUUCCUCCCAAAACAUUGUCACACUACCUUUCUUUUUCAUAAUAACUUGAUCUUUAAUGCUCUGGGCUCCUCCUCUACUGCAGGAGGUUGACAGCACAGCACACAGAAGGCAAACUGGUUGCACCUAUGGUGAGUUUGCUCAGCUAGAAAGGAGUAAACAUGAAGCAUUCUGUUCUGAGGACUAUGACUUCCUCUUUGCUAGUAAUGCACAAGCAUUUGCUAGAAAAUAAGAUCUUAGAUCUCGGACCAUCUUUAUCUUGGAUGACUGUCUUCAUUUGAAGAUGACAUUUGCCACUGACUUUGCUUUGGAGGGCUUCCUUGGCUCUGUAGCAGCAUUGAAAAGCCUGACUUUC